Molecule: long non-coding RNA, 431 nt
Organism: Sebastes umbrosus (honeycomb rockfish)
Lineage: Eukaryota; Metazoa; Chordata; Actinopteri; Perciformes; Sebastidae
Exons: 3
Source: RefSeq, a predicted model, not a curated record
GACUGUCUGACCGCUCAUGUUCCUCGCUCUGUUGGACUCUGUUGGUGCUACGUCCACCUGCAGAUCUGAGAGUCCAAUUUGUGUGACUUCACCGCGGUGAGGGCCAACGGCUGCUCCUGGGCGAGAGACUGCAUCCUGCACCUCCACUUCCUGUUAAAGACACACAAAGGAGUGAUGAAGACAGGAGAAGAAGAGGCGCUCGUGCCACCGGUGUGAUGCCUCUAGAGGAACAGAUGGUUGGAGCGUGCGCCCUGCUCCAUUAAUCUGCCAAAGAAGAGGCUUUUCCAAAGCGCGCACGACAAAGGAUUAACCCCCCUCGUUUUACGCACACAGGCGCGCACUUGUGCAUGAGCCCGCAGCCAUGAGACAGCAGAGGACUGUUUUUUUUGUUUUGGCUAUACACUCAUAAACGAGUCUCUGGUUGCAGGAAA